GUCUCACAGCCAGCACUCUCUCCCCUCUCCCUUCCCAGGUGCUGCUCUCUCUGUUUGUUUUCCUCCUGGUCUCUCUCUCCCCAAUCUGGGUAGCCCCACCGCUUUUCUCCUGGGACUGGUUGCUAAGGUUUUGGCUUCCUGGACCACGAUCCACACUUCUGUGCAAGGAACUUCCUGGGACAUAAUAGGCUUCAUCUCUUCACAAAAGAUCUGGAAUUCAGAGUGUGUGGUGAAGAGAAGCCCCAAGAAGGAUAACAUCAUCGGAAGAAAUGAGGGCCUGAUGCGCGACUUCGCCAUGACGCCCACUGAAGCCCUGAUCGUGCAGUUUUUUGUUAUGAAUCUGAUUAUGUGUAUUUGUGUUGGUUAUUAUUUGGUUCGAUCCCUUGAAGACAAACUUCUUAUGUUGGUGGA
This is a long non-coding RNA of Alligator mississippiensis (American alligator), 411 nucleotides long. RefSeq lists it as uncharacterized. The record is from RefSeq and is a predicted model, not a curated record. NCBI's taxonomy places the organism in Eukaryota, Metazoa, Chordata, Crocodylia, Alligatoridae. The transcript is spliced from 3 exons.